GGCAAUCCCCUAAUGUUCCCUUCCACCUUGUGGAAGUUUUGUUCUUUCGCUCUUUGCAAUAAAUCCCAUUGUUGCUCGCUCUUUGGGGUCUCACUGUCUGUGCGAGCUGUAAUACUCGCCGCAAAGGUGUCUGGCUUCACUUCCGAGACCAGCGAGACCCCGAACCCACCGGGAGGAAUGAACAACUCCGGAUGGGAGGGACAAACAACACCAGACGCACCGCCUUAAGAGUCCUAACGCUCACCGCGGAGGUCUGCGGCUUCACUCUUGAAUGAAGCCAGCGAGAUCACAAACCCACCAGAAGGAAGGAACUCUGAACACAUCCGAAAAUCAGAAGGAACAAACUCCGGACACACUACCUUUAAGAACUGUAACACUCAAAUCGCGAGGGUCCACGGCUUCGUUCUUGAAGUCAGUGAGACCAAGAACCCACAAAUUCCGGACACUUCCCCACACAGAGGGAACUGGCCUAACACUCUGAAUCUACAUCAAGGAACUCAAGCGCUCUUGUUGUCUUCCUGGGCAGGUGGUGCCAAUAGGAUGUACUGACAGAUCAGAAGUGGUCGUGAGAGAAGGAGCAAGUAGCCAGAAGAGUGAAGUGUGCACUGGCUGAGAUGUGGGAGCAGGUGUUGUUGGUUUCCCCGGAGAUGCAGCAAGAAGGCCCUCGCCAGAUAUCAAGGCCUUAAGCUUGGACUUCCCAGCCUCCAGAACUGUCUUAUGUAUCAACAAAAUCACACCAGACCACCCAAAGCUGGCCCUGCCAACUGACCACACACACCCCUGCCUGAAAGGCAUGUUUCAAUGUGCAACAGACGCCUGCCACUCAGGGGACAUCAAAUGUUCAUGAGAACUCGCUAACCUCGAAACAGGUUCUACAAAUUCAAAAAAACCACCCGUGGCCUGGCUCUGGGCUGAAGCUGAGUCCUGGCUUGAAAUCCCCUGCCUUAAUCUCUCUUCGAAGACUUUUCUGCAUUCAUCUGAGUCCUCAUCCUCCAAGGCAGGGCUCAGGCUUGGGCUCAGGCUCCCAGCCAUGUAUCCCUCCUGGACCAUUCCUGACUCCUUUCCAGUAUCCUUAUCACUUGUACCACAUACGUUGGCCUUUGAUCCUGUGUACUGUUGGAUUUGUCUUUACUUCACAGGUUCAUCUUGUCUCCCCAAGAACAAUGAGAGUUGCCUCAAGGGGUAGAACCAUGCUUUUUGUUUUCUUUUGAAUUCAUUACAGCACAGCCAAAAGCUCAACACACAAAACACACUCAGUAAAUAUCUGUUGAACAGAAUAAAAGCCAUUCCGCAUAACCA
Molecule: long non-coding RNA, 1299 nt
Organism: Homo sapiens (human)
Lineage: Eukaryota; Metazoa; Chordata; Mammalia; Primates; Hominidae
Gene: KAZN-AS1
Product: KAZN antisense RNA 1
Source: Ensembl